UACGAAGGGGGCUAGCGUUGCUCGGAAUUACUGGGCGUAAAGCGCACGUAGGCGGCUUUUUAAGUCAGGGGUGAAAUCCUGGAGCUCAACUCCAGAACUGCCUUUGAUACUGAGAGCUUGAGUCCGGGAGAGGUGAGUGGAACUGCGAGUGUAGAGGUGAAAUUCGUAGAUAUUCGCAAGAACACCAGUGGCGAAGGCGGCUCACUGGCCCGGUACUGACGCUGAGGUGCGAAAGCGUGGGGAGCAAACAGG
RNAcentral lists this ribosomal RNA (252 nucleotides) under uncultured bacterium. RNAcentral's name for it is "partial 16S ribosomal RNA". It matches the Rfam family "Bacterial small subunit ribosomal RNA", at positions 524 to 776 of the family's 1533-position model. The record is from RNAcentral.